This 898-nucleotide small RNA is filed under the name Pan troglodytes (chimpanzee). Its description in RNAcentral is "processed transcript". The record is from RNAcentral. Lineage: Eukaryota; Metazoa; Chordata; Mammalia; Primates; Hominidae.
CAGGCGCCUGUGCCUCCUCCUCGUCCCUCGCCGCGUCCGCGAAGCCUGGAGCCGGCGGGAGCCCCGCGCUCGCCAUGUCGGGCGAGCUCAGCAACAGGUUCCAAGGAGGGAAGGCGUUCGGCUUGCUCAAAGCCCGGCAGGAGAGGAGGCUGGCCGAGAUCAACCGGAGGAUGGGGUGAGGGAGCAGUGCCGAAGAGCUAUGAGAGGGAGCCAAGAGGAAAGGAAGUCCUCGACAGAGCCAACUAGGAGAAGGGCGGCCUCCCAGGCUGCCGAAGAAGGAUCUAGCGUCAGCUAAGUGGAGGCAGGGCCGUGCCCAGUGCAUUGCAAUGAGGCCUGGAGUAAGGCUGUGGCCAAGCCAGCAAGACCCCAUAGGCCCUGGGACUGCCCUCUGCCCAGGUGCAGGAGGACACAGGUCCUGGAGUCAGAUAGACCCAGGAGUUUCUCUGUGACCAGAAGUACAGUGAUGAAGAGAACCUUCCAGAAAAGCUCACAGCCUUCAAAGGGGUGACCUGCAGAGGCCCCACGGUCCGUUUGACACACUGCUCCCAUCUGAACAUACCAAGCCCACUGCUCCGACAUCCUCCCUCACUGCUAGAAGUUUUCCUGGACUCCUUGAUCAGGGAAGUAUAACUCAGUCUGUGUGUGAGGUUUGGGGUGAUGGUCUGUGUACCCCGGGAAACUGUAUGUCCACUUUGUGGGCUAGGGCAGGCCUUUUUCCUGGUUUCAGAAUCACAGGUCCCCUGAAUCAGUGGUUCCCACACCCGGUUGCCCAUCAGAACUGCCUGGGACGCUAAAAAGCACACCCAUGCCUGCCCCCACCCUGUCCUUCCACACCCAUGAGCCAGAAUCCUGGGGCAGGGAAUCAGAGCUAGUCACUUUGCUACUAACUCAGAUGCAG